RNAcentral lists this small nucleolar RNA (120 nucleotides) under Jaculus jaculus (lesser Egyptian jerboa). Its description in RNAcentral is "Small nucleolar RNA SNORA33 (ENSJJAG00000008963.1)". It matches the Rfam family "Small nucleolar RNA SNORA33". From Rfam's summary of the family: ACA33 is a member of the H/ACA class of snoRNA that guide the sites of modification of uridines to pseudouridines. The record is from RNAcentral. Lineage: Eukaryota; Metazoa; Chordata; Mammalia; Rodentia; Dipodidae.
AAAACAUUUAAAUCUGAAUGUGUUUCCACAGAAAUUUAGAAAAAGCUGGCAAUAAUGCUGGCAUGUUAUGAGCCUGAAGGACACCCAAGGUCAUUAGGGUCCCUAAAAAUGGCUAUAAAA